AACGAACGCUGGCGGCAUGCUUAACACAUGCAAGUCGAACGCUUCUUAUGGCUUCGGCCAUAAGCGGAGUGGCGCACGGGUGAGUAGCGCGUGGGAACCUGCCCUGUUGUGGGGGAUAACCGAGGGAAACUUCGGCUAAUACCGCAUAAGCCGGUGCUUUUGAGAGAGAGUAUCGGGAAAGAUUUAUCGCGACAGGAGGGGCCCGCGUCGGAUUAGCUUGUUGGUGGGGUAACGGCCUACCAAGGCAGUGAUCCGUAGCUGGUCUGAGAGGAUGAUC
Molecule: ribosomal RNA, 277 nt
Filed under: uncultured bacterium
Lineage: Bacteria
Description: partial 16S ribosomal RNA
Rfam family: Bacterial small subunit ribosomal RNA
Source: RNAcentral